AAUCAGUGUAUUAAGAUGAAAGUUCCUCUGCCUUCUAAGCAGACGGUCACAGGUUCGAAUCCUGUCGCGAUCACAA
RNAcentral lists this transfer RNA (76 nucleotides) under Tenacibaculum sp. SZ-18. RNAcentral describes it as "tRNA-Arg". It matches the Rfam family "tRNA", at positions 14 to 71 of the family's 71-position model. Rfam says of the family: Transfer RNA (tRNA) molecules are approximately 80 nucleotides in length. Their secondary structure includes four short double-helical elements and three loops (D, anti-codon, and T loops). Lineage: Bacteria; Pseudomonadati; Bacteroidota; Flavobacteriia; Flavobacteriales; Flavobacteriaceae. The record is from RNAcentral.